CUGAGUCAACCCAGGCCCGGGCUUAUCUCUUAACUCUGCAGUGUUUGUUUUAAGAAAAUCAAAGCACGUUCCCCUUCUGCUUUCUUCAAAGGGAGGAGGAGAGAGCUGGCCACUGCCUGGGAGGGAGGCUGCUAGUGCAGAGGCGUCAGUUCAGAGGAGAUCUGGAAUUGGUGUUUUUUUUUUUUUUUUUUUUACCUCUUGGUCUCAUGAACCAGCCAGAGUUCUUCAUUUCCGAGCUGGGCGUGUGCCCACCAUCAUCUGCUCCUUCGGACUCCUCCAUGUAAUCCUAGGGGACAGGCUUGUCAAGGUCCACUUGACUGAAAAAUAAAAAGAAUACUUGGGCUAGAAAAGGAGCGGUUUGAGGGAAGGCCUGUGGAAGGGUCUUUAGUGAGCAGGAAGGUGUGCGCAUGCGCACAUGCCGCCAGGCUUUGGGCGGCGUGGGAGCCAGGGGUCCCGCCAAGGGCCACAGAAAGAGGCCCAGGGAGCCAGCGAGCGAGAGAGGCUGAUGGUGGGGCCUGUAGGUGGAAUCCUGGUCUCCAAGGCAACAAGCACGACGGGGAAGCUCAGCUUUUGUUACCUCCUGGCAAGGGAUCACGGACAUUUCUUGUGUGCGUUGAAAUGUCAGGAGAUAUUAAGAAAUGGAGACAUGGAGUUCCCAUUGUGGCACAGUGAAAAUGACUCCCGUUAGUAUCCUCGAGGAUGCGGGUUCGAUCCCUGGUCUCACUCAGUGGGUCGGGGAUCAGUGUUGCCAUGAGCUGUUGUAUAGGUUGCAAACUCAGCUCAGAUCAUGUGUUGCUGUGGCCUAGGCCACCAGCUGCAGCUCCGAUUUGACCCCUAGCCUGGGAACUUCCAUAUGCCACAGGUGCAGCCCUAAAAAGCAAAAAAAGAAAGAAGGAAACGUAGACAUGAACUGGCACUCAAGGCUUCUUUCCUGAUUCUUGGCGCUGUAACUACUGCCUCCUCUGCUUUUGCCUGUCCUCUACCCUCUCCCAAAGAUGACCUUCGUGGUGGUGACCCCAAGUGUGGAGGAAGCCCAGACAUCCCUUCACCUGUAAGCCCUGGUUUUCUCCUCUGCGUGGAGAUGCCGAUGUCAUCUCCCUCCCUUGCAGGCAAUGAGGAUUGAGCAGAGUCAGUGUGGG
Molecule: long non-coding RNA, 1139 nt
Filed under: Sus scrofa (pig)
Lineage: Eukaryota; Metazoa; Chordata; Mammalia; Artiodactyla; Suidae
Description: lncRNA (ENSSSCG00005012467.1)
Source: RNAcentral